This 341-nucleotide long non-coding RNA is filed under the name Homo sapiens (human). RNAcentral describes it as "non-protein coding lnc-FAM237B-2:3". Lineage: Eukaryota; Metazoa; Chordata; Mammalia; Primates; Hominidae. The record is from RNAcentral.
AAAUGUCCAGACAACUCCACAGCGCGCAUUUCUCUCCAGCAGCGGGAAGAUUCAGAGACCUCGAGACUGAACACCCAAAUCUCGCUUUCCAGGACCCGAAGUACCGAACAAUAGGUCCCAAGGUAAUUGUACAUUUUUUCAUCCUACAUCUCAAGAGACCAAGGGACCUAAGUAAAUUGAUCUACUUGCCAAUGACUGUAAGAAAGACAAAGAAGUUGUAAAAACAUCCAAAUGAUGUUAAACAUAAAUUAGCUCAGAAUAGUUUGCAGAAGAUAAACUACCAGCGUCAAAGCAUGCAUUAAAAACUGGUAAGUUCCCCUCUCCCAUUAAACCGUGCUUAA